UUUUAAGAAUGACUCCAGUGACCCAAAGUGUGCAGUUCUACUAGCAGGGGAAGCAACUAGAACUGCAGAUUCCAUAUUCUCCUUGUGGAAAAGGCAUCAAACUGAGGUGGGCAAAAGCUGGAUUAAACAACAGCCAGGAAUGAAAGUACUGAAGGAAAACCCAGACUCCGGACAGAGGUCUGUGGCAUGCUUUAUACUUAUGGUUCUCAUCUCUAUGCUCAUUUGCCUACAGCUUUUGUUGAUCUUAUUCCUGUGAACUCUCCUGUGCAAGGAAUUCCUACAGUCAGUCAGUGCUAGGCUCCAUCCUAUCCAGUUUCCAGUCUCUGAGAGUUGCCAAUACCAGACGCUUCAGAGGAAGAUACAAGAAAUUCUGCAGUAGCUGGUUAAGGCAUAACCCGCCCUCAUAGUUGUCAUGACCCAAUGAUUGUGUGUGCGCUUCGGCACUGCAGAAUUAUUUCCUGCCACCUGGAGCUUUCUUUGCACGGUGCAAUUCUCAGCUACAGAGAGAAAACCCCGGUGCAAAGGAGUUCCUGCCACCCGUAUGUAAAUUUGUUUCCCACUAUUGGCUGUUUCUAAAUUAUUCCCACGUGGCGGCUAGCGAUUGGCUUGCUAGUCGUAUAAGAGGUUUGAGCAGUUUCCGCCCAAGUUGAUAGAGGACUCCACAACUAUCUCCUGGGGACCCUGAGCACGCGGCAGAGUAAUAGAAACUUUGUGUGCAUCUCCGAGGAGUUCGGUGGCCUGAUCAACCACCAACCUCUUCCCGUCUCAUUCGUUAAAUUCUUCUUAAGACGUAUCUACAGUUUUUGCGCGCUCAUCAAGGGUAUCCAGAGCUCUGUCGUGUUUGUUUUGCGGAGCCUAGCAAACUCCGUUCGUGUGUCUUUGGUGGAGCCUAGCAAACUCCACUUGUGUUUGUCUGUAACUGCAACUCAAGAAAGUUUUUCCUGCCUGCACCGCGACCACCUACGGUGUAAGUAAAACAAUCUUUAAUUAA
Molecule: long non-coding RNA, 991 nt
Organism: Alligator mississippiensis (American alligator)
Lineage: Eukaryota; Metazoa; Chordata; Crocodylia; Alligatoridae
Exons: 2
Source: RefSeq, a predicted model, not a curated record